GCGGCGGCCCCCCACAUGCAAUGAAGUGACAAUACUCAAAAUGAUCAAAAGGUCAGACACGGCGCCGCCCGAAGACAUAAUUAAGGGCAAAAAGAUCUUUUAAGGCCCCCCCUCGUCUCUUCAAGGCUACAACCUCACCUACAUAAAGAGGUAAAUAGGGACUCUUCAGGUAUGCAUGGAAAAAAAAAUACAGAUGCCCCCUCUCCUCCUAAAAAAUGCUCACACUUUUUCACCUGCUGCGAAAAAUCUGACUUGAGUGUCGGAGGGUCUCUGCCGGAGUUUCUCAUAGGUCCAACCACUGCCGACGCACCGGACGUCAUCUCGCUUUAGCACUUUCGGCCCA
This 343-nucleotide long non-coding RNA is filed under the name Elaeis guineensis (African oil palm). Its description in RNAcentral is "long non-coding RNA (EGUI_LNC022399)". Lineage: Eukaryota; Viridiplantae; Streptophyta; Magnoliopsida; Arecales; Arecaceae. The record is from RNAcentral.